RNAcentral lists this long non-coding RNA (324 nucleotides) under Panax ginseng (ginseng). RNAcentral describes it as "long non-coding RNA (PGIN_LNC010838)". Lineage: Eukaryota; Viridiplantae; Streptophyta; Magnoliopsida; Apiales; Araliaceae. The record is from RNAcentral.
UAUAUUUAUAUGCUUUACUAGUUUAUUUAGUAGAUAGGAAUUAAUUUGCUUAGUAAGUUCUCUUAUAAUCUAAUACAUGUUGUCUCUCUUCAUUUCAGGUAUUGGAGGUUCAAUGGAUAGGAAAAUGAUCGUUGCUACCAUCGCCACCAGCACCUCACGCUUAGCUGAUUACAGGGAAGUUCUCUUAUACUUAUCGCUAUAUUCUUACAAUGAGGACAUUGUAAUUGCUAAGUUUGGGGGAGUUUAGUUUAGUUCAUUAUUGCAUGUUUAGUUUCAUGUUUAUGUUAUGUUAUUUUGCAUAUGUUGUUAAUAUAGUUUAGGUUC